Molecule: long non-coding RNA, 3096 nt
Organism: Myxocyprinus asiaticus (Chinese sucker)
Lineage: Eukaryota; Metazoa; Chordata; Actinopteri; Cypriniformes; Catostomidae
Exons: 3
Source: RefSeq, a predicted model, not a curated record
UUAUUAUUAUUAUUAUUAUUAUUAUUAUUAAUUAUAAUUAAUUUCAUUUCAUUUAUAAACAGUAUAAUUCAAAUUCAAGAGUCAAUAUCAAGUCCAGUCUUUCAAGUCAGCAUGUGCCUGAUAUUGAAUAACAUAAGUGUCGGCAACGUGUUACCUGCAUAACGCUCUAUUAGACUGGAAUGACAACAAAAUGUUCCCAACCCACUCACCAGAUCAACAAGAGGUGUCAGCAUGCAUGAACACAAAAGGUUGACUGAAGUUAUUGUCUGCAGUUUAAAGGUUUCCCUUUUUCAGCCUGAUUUUUAAAAUGAUAUAAUUUGAGGUGGACAGUUAAUCCAGGAACAUUGUGUGGGUGACAGAACAGAUGGGCUCUGUUUAAGAGGGUCAAAUUAUUGAAGACUCUUCAUCAUCUGAUCAUCAAAAAAGACAGUAUUUAUCUAAUUCACUUGAUCUAUUUGUAAUUAGAAUAAAGUCAUAGAAUACAGAAGUUUCAAGCUGAAGUUUUGAGUGUGUUCAUGAAUUUGAAAUCAAUGCUCUCUAUUAGAACUGUAAUGUCGACAGCCCUGCAGCUUUUCCAAGAUUAUUUACGUAGUGAACCAUGGAAGAAAGUGGAAUAAAAUGCUGCUUCAAUUUGGUAUUUUAGCAGCAGGGAUCUGUAGCUUGCAAUGUGAAACUUCUCAGUGUGGAUGGCACAAGCAAACAAACGGGGCAUUUGACCAACACAUCACACUGCUAACAGGUGCAAAUAGGGACACUUCAUGUACAUAGGUUUGUUUGACAUUUUUCCUCUUCUUGCUCUGUGAUUAUAAUCUGUGUAUAACCUAUUAAAUUAAAAUCACUCUGUUGAUGUGUGGGGUAAGAUGGAGAGGGUCCUCGCUGCAGACUGUAGUGCGAUGGCGUAGUGGAUUUUGGUGACAUAGUGGAUGUUUUGGUUUUUAUGCGUUACACUGAGUACACUUAUUAUUAGAGUAUUACACUGAGACAUUUGUUUAAUAUAGCUUAGCUUUUAAAAAUGGUCAUAACUGUAGAUUUUGUAAAUUAAUUUUCCUUGUUUUCCCUCUUCACCCACAGAAAACAAUUAUAAAAAUUAAGCAGUAUACUCCUAACUAUAAUGUGCUCCACAUUUUAACAUCUCCUCUGCUGUACAUAAAUGCCAUGGGGUGAAUUAUUUGUAUUUGUAUAUUAACAUGUAGUGGUCAAACAUACUUGGAAGUACAAAAGUGAAAUUAAAGUGAAUCUGCACAUGCUCAGCACACGGAACCGAAUGGAGCACAUCUGUUACUCUCAGAGAUAUUGCAUACAAAAUGUAAAACAAUCAUCCCAUGAAUUUCUUCCUAGAAUGCUUGUCAACUCAAAAAUCAUCUGAAUUUUCUUAAGGUUAGAAAUCAAUAUCUUUCUUUCAUUACAAUACCUCGGAUAGAUCAUCAUAGCAUGCUCUACUGUUUCUUCCCAAUUAUAAACUUCACAUUUCCCUGAAUCAUGUUUCUCUAUUCUAUACAAAGUACUAAUAAGUGCUGUAUGACCAAGUCUAGAGAUUAUUGUUUCUUCUAUUUCUUUCUCCCUGCUACUCUACCUUUACCAACAUUAGCUUGAAUGUUAUAAAACCAUCUUCCUGCUCUAUCCUCCUCCCAUUGUUUUUGCCACCUACUCCUUAUAUGUUGUUUAAUUAAACUUUUCAUUUCAGUCUUACAAUAUUUUGUUUGUGGCUUCUUUUGCACUCUCAUCUGUCAUCUCAAUUUCUUUUACCCCUACAUGAGCUAGUACCCAACAAAAAGUUUCAAUUAAUCCCAUCAUAUGAAUCCUGUAUAUUGUUUGAAGUAUCUUAAUCAAAACAUCUGCUCUACUUUCAGUGUGACAUGUUUUUAAUGUUAUUAAUGAUGAACUUGAGUCCGAACAUAUAAGAGCCCUCAAUGGUCUUUUUUCCUCAACCCACUGUAAAGCCAUUAAGAUUACCAUUUCUCCAGUGUACACUGAAAGAUUAUCUGAGAUUCUUUUAUUAGCCUGAAUAUUGAAAUCCAGAACCGUGAAUGCCACACGUACUUUGUUUUCUAUAUUUUUCGAUGCAUCUGAAUAUAUGGACAUAGCUAUAAUAAUUUCCCUGCAUGUACUUAUGUUAUUUGGGCAUUUGGUUUAGACUCCUGAUACGUGUUGUCCUUAUCUAACAGUGUCAUAUCUACAGUAGGUUGUGGUAACAACCAUUGAGGAAUUGUUGACCAUGGUACUGUUGGACUAUUGAGAGUCUUAUUUAUUUCCAUUUCUUCUGUUAUCUUAGGUAUUUUCCAUCCAAAAAUUUUAAUUUCCAGCAUUUCUUUUUCCCAACAUGGUUUUAUAGUGACUCUUGCUGGGUGUUCUUGAUUGUGACCUUGUAUAUUGACCCAAUAAUUUAAUGACAGUACUAUUCUUCUGAGUUCUAAAGGUAUUUCUCCCAUUUCAAUCUGUAAUGCUGUGGUUGGUGUUGAUCUAAUAGCCACCGUGUUCUCCACCAUGAUUGUUGUUUUGUCAUCAGCUCCGCCCUAACCUCCAACCUGAGACUGCUGGCCGAAACUGCUGUGGCGUAUGGCUCUGCGGCUAUGCAGAUGGUUACUAUCCACCUUAUUUUUCAGCAAAACUAGGGCGUCGCCAUUAGCAACAUUGAAUGUGGACCACUUCCGAAUGAAUGAAAUCAGGCGCUGACAGGACAGUCCUCUACACCAUCUUGACACGCCUCCACAAACUUUACACAACCAGCAGAAAGAAGAAAGAUGCCGGGAAAAUGCUGCUUCAACUUUCUUUGCACAAAAACUGCAUCUUGUUUCAUCUUGGCAAAAUAAUAAAAUGCAUUUUACUCUCCGUUCUUGUCAGAGAGCAUUCUCUCUUUCUUAGCAGUGUAUAGUAAACUGUAGGGCUGCCCCCUAAUAGUCAACCAAAUGUUAGAUGAUGAGAAGUGUCUUGGUCGACCAAGUUUUGAUUGGUCGGUUGGUCGCAGAAAAAAAAAAACGCCACAGGAAGUGGCGAUGUCACGCAGUCUGUGACAGCAUGGUUUAAACUUAUUUAUUUUUAUUUUAUUUAUUUAUUUAUUUAUUUGUUUGUUUUAUUGCUUGAGUGAAAAUACAAAGA